GAAUCUUGCGCAAUGGGCGAAAGCCUGACGCAGCGACGCCGCGUGAGUGAUGAAGGCCCUCGGGUUGUAAAGCUCUGUGGAGAGGAACGAAUAAGGCUUGGUUAAUAUCCAAGCUGAUGACGGUACCUUUUUAGCAAGCACCGGCUAACUCUGUGCCAGCAGCCGCGGUAAGACAGAGGGUGCAAACGUUGUUCGGAAUUACUGGGCGUAAAGCGCGUGUAGGCGGCUCGGAAAGUCGGAUGUGAAAGCCCUGGGCUCAACCCAGGAAGUGCACCCGAAACUUUCGAGCUGGAGUCCUGGAGAGGAAGGCGGAAUUCUCGGUGUAGAGGUGAAAUUCGUAGAUAUCGAGAGGAACACCGGUGGCGAAGGCGGCCUUCUGGACAGUGACUGACGCUGAGACGCGAAAGCGUGGGGAGCAAACAG
Molecule: ribosomal RNA, 423 nt
Filed under: uncultured bacterium
Lineage: Bacteria
Description: bacterial SSU rRNA
Rfam family: Bacterial small subunit ribosomal RNA
Source: RNAcentral